This is a long non-coding RNA of Engraulis encrasicolus (European anchovy), 936 nucleotides long. RefSeq lists it as uncharacterized. The record is from RefSeq and is a predicted model, not a curated record. Lineage: Eukaryota; Metazoa; Chordata; Actinopteri; Clupeiformes; Engraulidae. The transcript has 3 exons.
AAAGAAGAAGACACCUGACAUGCGCAUGUUUCUCUUUGAAAAUCGUGAGCGGAUUUAAGUGCAGUUUUAAUUUGCAGCUGUGGCGGGCUGUUGCAGCGGUAUAGGUGUAUUUUUACUGUGUAUUUGUUUUGAACUUGUAUUAGACCACCAAGAUAACACAUUACUUAACACAUUUUACGCAUAUUUGUUGUGAAUUUCUUGGCUCGAGAGUACCAGACAAAGGUCCUAUGAUUGGCGAAAUUGCCGUUGACCAACGUGGACAACAAAAAGCAUUUUGCUAUUAACCUGGACGACUGGAAAAGACAAGGCAAAUGAACUUGCAGUUGACUCAGAGCAGCAGCACAGGCCAGACCAACAGCAGUACCGGCCUGAGAGCAGACCUUCUUCGAUCUAGAAUAGCCCAUCCCAGCCCAGACUACAACAGUCCCAGAAGCAGCAACGAUCCACAGCAACUGAAUUUCUAUGUAGCAAGUGAAAGAGCCUUCAGAAAGGGCAGCAGGAAGGAAGAAAAUGUGUCAGAGGGAGGUGUCGCCCAGCAUUACAGUCCGGUGAUCAGCAUACACAUGCACAACCACGCACACACGCAUACACACAUGCUCAUACACUUAAACAUUUUCAUUCAGUUUCCCAAACACACUGUGGGGAGAAAAGCCUAACCAAACAUGUUAUGAAGAUAAACUACAGCCAAGAGACUUUUCCUUCAUAAUCAGCAUGUGCAAAAUGAACAGUUACUUGAAAAGAGCAUGGUAGUGAUGCAUCAAAGUCUGUAACAUUUAUUUUGUCUGAUGAAAGUUAAUUGUUUCCCCUGCGGGUAGAAAUAGUCCUGGCCACCUCAUUUAUGUCUAUCUGCUUUUGGUAAAUUAAGAAAAAAGGACAUUGUACCUUUUGGCUGUUUUGCCACCAGGAUUGAAAAUAAACACUUCGCUUGGAGUUUCA